GAACAGUUGCUUAUUGACUGACGUUUAAGUCAGUCUUGACACUAAUGUUUUCACAGCUGUAAUCACUUUACUAACUAUUUCUUGCAUGAAUCAAUUUUAACAAAUUUUCACACACACAAGUAAUGCAAGACGUUGAACCACUGCAGCGGCGUAACAAACUUCGAUUUUUCACCAAACAAAAAACUACCGUUUUCAGCGGCACACAUACGCGCGCACCAAAGUACACACAA
This is a long non-coding RNA of Anastrepha ludens (Mexican fruit fly), 230 nucleotides long. RefSeq lists it as uncharacterized. The transcript has 2 exons. NCBI's taxonomy places the organism in Eukaryota, Metazoa, Arthropoda, Insecta, Diptera, Tephritidae. The record is from RefSeq and is a predicted model, not a curated record.